Molecule: long non-coding RNA, 965 nt
Filed under: Homo sapiens (human)
Lineage: Eukaryota; Metazoa; Chordata; Mammalia; Primates; Hominidae
Description: HSALNT0324338
Source: RNAcentral
GAGAACUUUUGUGUCGAACUCAGGGAUUGUAAACGCACCAAUCAGCACUCUGUCAAAAUGGACCAAUCAGCUCUCUGUAAAACAGACCAAUCGGCUCUCUGUAAAAUGGACCAAUCAGCAGGAUGUGGGUGGGGCCAGAUAAGAGAAUAAAAGCAGGCUGCUCCGCGCUAGCACUAGCAAGUUGCUAGAGUGGCCUGCCACAGUGUAAGUUUUGUUCUUUAGCUCUUUGCAAUAAAUCUUGCUACUGCCCACUCUUUGGGUUUACACUGCAUUUAUGAGCUGUAACACUCAUGGUGAAGAUUUACAGGUUCAGUCCUGAAGCCAGCGAGACAAAGAACCCACUGGGAAGAACAAACAACUCCAGACGCCCCAACUUAAGAGCUGUUAACACCCGAAGAUCUGCAGCUUCACUUUUGAGCCAGCGAGACCACGAACCCACCAGAAGGAAGAAACUCUGAACAGGCUGGAACGUCAGAAGGAACAAACUCAGGACAUGCCACCUUUAAGAACUGUAACACUCACUGUGAGGGUCUGCGGCUUCAUUCUUGAAGGCUGUGAGACCAAGAACCCACCAAUUUCGGACACACUGGGACCACCCUCGCUGACUGGAGUGUGAUAUCUCCAAGGAAGCUUAAUCCAGAUGUUUAUGAAGCUAGCAUGGCACUUCCUACAAAUGCAAGGAUUGUGAGUGACUCUGGGGCCUCUAUUGCAAAUUGUUCUAGGGAGAAAUUUGCCUGUCCUGGUAUCAAGCCCUGGCUGGAAGCCAGAGAGAGGGUUACAGAAAGAGAUUAAGGUGUCAGUGCUGGAGGCAGAAGAGGCUAUUGGGCAAUUUGUUUGCCUGGUUCUACCGCACACCUGAUUUACACCCAGCUUGUGAAAACCUUACCACAGGUAAAAUGCCAAUAGUUGUUCUACUAGAGUGGUCAACUUUUGACUGAUUUAUCUCCUACAUUUUUCAAACCUUA